This 504-nucleotide ribosomal RNA is filed under the name uncultured bacterium. RNAcentral describes it as "partial 16S ribosomal RNA". It matches the Rfam family "Bacterial small subunit ribosomal RNA", at positions 28 to 523 of the family's 1533-position model. The record is from RNAcentral.
GAUGAACGCUGGCGGCAGGCCUAACACAUGCAAGUCGAGCGGUAGCACAGAGAGCUUGCUCUCGGGUGACGAGCGGCGGACGGGUGAGUAAUGUCUGGGAAACUGCCUGAUGGAGGGGGAUAACUACUGGAAACGGUAGCUAAUACCGCAUAACGUCGCAAGACCAAAGAGGGGGACCUUCGGGCCUCUUGCCAUCAGAUGUGCCCAGAUGGGAUUAGCUAGUAGGUGGGGUAACGGCUCACCUAGGCGACGAUCCCUAGCUGGUCUGAGAGGAUGACCAGCCACACUGGAACUGAGACACGGUCCAGACUCCUACGGGAGGCAGCAGUGGGGAAUAUUGCACAAUGGGCGCAAGCCUGAUGCAGCCAUGCCGCGUGUAUGAAGAAGGCCUUCGGGUUGUAAAGUACUUUCAGCGGGGAGGAAGGUGUUGAGGUUAAUAACCUCAGCAAUUGACGUUACCCGCAGAAGAAGCACCGGCUAACUCCGUGCCAGCCGCCGCCGUAA